GUCCCCUCGAUUGACUUAAAAGUCAGCCGUUUAGCCCAUCUUCCGUUAUUACAAAUUAGCCACACUAAACGAUCUUAUCCGCUGCAAUAGAAUCUCAUCGUAUCUUUAAUAAAUCGUUUAAUUGUAUUUGUACGUCACCCAGUUUAAGUUCAUUAUUAACUAUACCCGAGUAUACGUAUAGGUACUUAUCGUGGAAUUUCGUUUUCAAAUCGGUAUACAAGACAAAAACAGGUAAGACAAUAUUGUAUAAAAUUCAGAUAUUUAUAUACUAUUACACUCAUUAGAAACUAUAUAAGAAACUAUAGAAGGAUUAAAUAAUUCCUCAUAUUCAAUAAUAUUAUUAUUAUUAGGUACCUACCUAUAUAUACGAUAUUUUAAUUCUAGAAAUCUUACUAUGGUCGUAGGAAUAACCAGGGGUGUCGCUAAGAAUUUUUUUGGUUUAGGCACACUAUAACCUUCUAUUCAUAAACGGGAGUGGACACUUCUCCCAAUUUUUGUAUUAGUCUUCUAUAAUUUCAAAGAUAUAAACGAUUUAACUUAAGCAAAUAAGUAGAUCAUUUUAAAAGAUGUAAUUAUUUAUCUGAAUACAAGAGAGUUAUACAAAAUAAAAUUAUAAUUACUAUACUCGUAACUUAUAAUAUACAUUUAUAAAAUAUUUUCAAAGUAAAAAUGUCAAUUAUCUUUUCUUUAUGAUAGCAAACUCGUCAAUAAUAUCCGACGGGUUAUCCAUAAACUGUCUACUUAUUUCCCUUUCUAUGAAAUGUAAUAUCAAAUCAUUUAAUCUAGAACUUUCAGCUGACACACUAUAGAUAUAAGAAAUACAAUAACUAGUUCAAUUAUUUUUUUUUAAUUCUUCAAAUCCAAAGUGACAACUUGUACUUGAUAAAACAAUUUAGAAAGACCAGAACUAGAUGAAAAUAAAUUUUUUCCCAGUGUACAUCGAUAUUUUAAUUUAAUAAGAAAUUCAUCGGAAUGAUAAAAUAAAAAAGUUUUUGCAAAAUUACAUAAUUUUUCACUGUCUAAAAAUUAUUUUCUCACUGGUUAUUUAAACAUGUAAUCUCUGCACUAAUACUGUUGUAAAUACGAGUGUAUUAUUUUAUAUGUUAUUGUUUUUUUUUUUUAUAGAAAAUCUGGGUAGGCCUGGGUUUACUUGGCCUAUCUACUUGCUACGCCCCUGGGAAUAACAUAAUACCGAGGGCCUAUCCAGUAUCUAUUUAAAAUUUGGGCAUUUACCAUAAAUGUAAUUAUGGGGUUAGACUGCUUAGCGUCAUCCAAGACCAUGAUUGAAAUCGUGAACAUCAUAAUCUCUACAAAUUUAUUUCAUGCUUUAGACCUCUUAAAAUUUUUACUUUAGUUAUGGAAUUUAAAUAAAUAACAUACCUAUUUAUUUGUAUUGAAACUAAAAGUAAAUUUAAAGGUUGAUUUUUUUUUCGGAUCCGUCUUUACAUAAUACUAUAGAUUUAAAUAAUGUUUAUAAAUGGAUCGAUUAUUAAACUACACCGUUAAUAUUUGUCCGUUAUAAAUAUUAUAUAAUAUUAGCUAUUUAAGACAAGUGAUUAAGUAUAUUAACAAAAAUAUAACUAGCGUAUUUCGAAUUGAACGAUUCGUAAUUUUGGAUUUUGUUUAAAAUAACAAUAAUUAUUGAUUUUUCAUUGAUACGUUUUAUUUUCGCGGAAAACAAUUUUUCGUAUCGAUAAAAUUACUUUUAACGUUUUGUCUACAGCAGCAAGAUAAUUAUAUACAUGUACCUACAUGUUUAUUAUUAUUUCUUAUCUUGCUGCCUCAGCCGUAUGGUAAAUUAGAAAACAGCAAGAAAUUCAGUGAAGUGAGCAAUAAUUGCAUUUUUAAUUAUAACAGUUUACAUUUAAUUUAUCUAUUUUAAUAAAAUUUAAAACGAAUUACUAUCUUGCACAUUUUAUAACCCAACCACCGAAAACAGUGACCUGCUCAAUGUGCAAAGUCUGUAGAGUAGGUAGGUAUCCAAUUCUUUUUUAGAAAAAGUACAAAUAUCAUAAUAUUGGACUAAUAACUCAUAAAUACAAUACGACUAAUUAACGAUAUGUUUUAUAAUUAUAAUAUUAUUACUUAGCUUGCUUAUUUAGUUAUUACGUCAUGCAUAUUUAAGUUAGGUACAGCAUUUUUUAAAAUAUACCUAUACUCUAGAUAUUAUAGUGAAUAGUUACUGAUAUUGUGGUAAAUGAUGCAAAUUACGAUUAUUUUUUUUUAUACGGGACAAAGUACAAAUGAUGCAAAUUAAAAAUCAAUAUUUAUUUAUCUAUAAGUGUUACUAAUUGUUACAUGUAGGAAGUUAUUAAAGUUGUUAACUGUAUCAGUUUUAGGUGUUUUUUUUUUUAUUAUUGUAAUUAAUAAUAAAUACUAAUUAUGCAAUAUUUAUAAAAUCGUUAUUCAUACAUUUUUUUUUUUUUUUAAUUAUAGCUUUAUAAAAAAAAAAAGACGGAUAUACCUAGCACGAUGGGUGGGCUGUUGUAUGUGGUGAAAAGUUGGGAAGGUAGGAUAUAGAGGAUAAUUUAAUGUAUAUCUGUACGCAACGAAUAAUUUUUGCUAACGAAAAACGAUUCUGGGCGGGAUUCGGUUGUACAUGUUUAAAAGGCCGUAAUGUUUACGAUUGUCAAAAUUGUAUAUUAAAAUUUGUGUACAUAAAAAAAAAAUGUAUAUCAUAUUAAACUUAACGUUUUCUUAUUGGCCACUUAGUAAAACUUAUAAUGAACCUCUUGUUAAAUGUUCAAGCAUUUCUGUUUAGUCUAACAAUUUUUUCCAUAGAGAACCUACCAAAUAAAAAUUACGUAAAAAACUCGCAAAAUGAAAAUGUAUAUGUUUAGCUCGAAAAUGUUUUAAAAAUUUUACCACGUCUAGAAAAAGCAAAUAUAUGUUUUCAGUCAAAUUUUCAAGUACCCACGAACAUUUUAAAUUGAAUUACAAAAAUUGAAAAUAAUUAAAGUAAAAACAUUAAUUAAAUAUGCAAUAGAAGAGGUCUCUUGUCGUUUUUCUAUUGAAGCAAUAUUUCAGUUAUAAAACAUCGUGCAUAAAAAUUUGAAAUAAUAAAACGCCGUGGCGCCAUAAAUUUGUUCGUUUACAUUUUUCAUCUUUUUCCGGUUUUCCCAAUUAUUGUGAAAACUACUAGGAAAAUCUAAAAACUACCUCUCUAAUGUAUCAACUAGAUAGAAUAUUCUUUCAAAAAUAAUUUUAGACUUAAUACUUUGGAGCAAAUUUUCUUUUUGAAGUUGUUCAUAGACAGAAAAAAAAAUAUCAUAAUAAUUUUACUAUAUGUUUUUUUUUUUUUUAAUAAAUCCAAUAGAUCCAAAAAACAGCAGUCUGGUUGAAGCAGGAAAUUGAGUAUUAUUAUUUUUAAAUGUCAAAAUUGAAAUUGGUUACAUUUUUAUUAUAGUCGUAUGCGAUCGUACUUAUUAAACACGAAAUAUACGUAUAUCUAAAUGUAUUUAUGGUGUAUCCAUGUAGCCGUGUAUAUAGGUAAUCUCUUAUAUUCUCUGAAGUAGAUACCUGUAAAAUAACAUCUGCAAGUUAAUUUAAUUUUUAUACUUUUUAACUCAAAUAGCAUAGUUUUUAAUUUUUUGCGCUCGGAAUAAUAGUAUGUGUAUAGAAUGCGAUAAUUAAUAUUUAUUAGACUUUCGGUUGUACCAAGCACAUGUUCCGGUUACUCAGAUAUAGAUAUACCCAAAACCAGUGGCGUGUUGAACUCAUUUGUUUGAUGAGCAAAAUUGUAUACAAGGUACCCACCUACCCCACUUGUCCAUCCUAACAAAAUUUCCACCACAGCAAAAAAUAAAAUACGUAUAUUCGUAGAGAUUUGUAUAAUCGGAUGUACCUAUUUAAUUAGUUAAUUUAUUACACUCGUUAUCUUACAUCUUGAUUUGUAUAGUAGUGUAUGCAGAUUUAAUAAUGUAUACAAUAUUGUUGGCAGUGGGGAAGCCAAGGAUUCUGUAUUAUUAUUAUUAUAAUUAAUAUUAUGCGGGUGUAAGCAAUCGCGAUCGUUAGCAAAUUUGUAAAAACCAACUAGCUUAUCUGUGUUUUCCUAAUAAUGCACCGUAACCGACCGACGACGACCGUCCGCAUCGACGACUGAUGUUUUCGACGUACUAAUUUACUAAAAAGUACUACAUUUUUGAACUAUAAUUGACAUGUUUUAUGCUGUAGAGACGUAGAGUGUAGGACGUAUGUUACAUAAGUAAGACACAUAUUCGUUUACGUAGUAUAUUUCUAUUUUCUAUGAUAUACCUAGUCAUCAAUGCGGCUAGGUAUUUUGUAGCAGGGGGACCUAACCUAACCUAAUCCAACCACGAAAAAUAUUGGAGGAGAAAUUGCUCCAAAAUAAUACCAUCAACACGCCACUGCCCAGAACAAUAAUUAUAUAUACUAAACGUACAGAUAGUAUUUACAUAAUUAUUUUAAUUGUAAUAAAAACAAUUUCUUGAUUUUAAAAUAAUAUGAGAUGCGUUACAGAUGAAUCACGGCUUUUAUGUAUGCAUAAUAUUUAUAAUUUAUAUGAUAAUUAAUUUAAAUCUAUAUCAAAUAUAAGAUCAAAUACCCAUACAUGAUUAUUUUUCAACAUUUUUAAAAUGUAAUUUACUACAACUUUUUAUUAUUGACACAUUUCAUACACGUACAUAUUAUCGGAUAAUAUUUUGAAUUUACAGUUUUCUGUUUAUGACUAUUAUAUGACUAAAAGUAAUACAAUUAUAACACGGUAUUACGGUUUUAGUUUUAAACGAUGACGUCUGCAACGAGAGUGCAGUAGGUACUUGUAUUUAUUGAUUGUUGCAAAUAUAAUACCUACGUAGUUAUAAAAAUAGGUAGGUGUUUACUGUUUUAGAACUUUAGAAUAAGUGACAUACUGUUUCUUUAAUUCCGUCUCGGCUUGCUAUAUGCUACUUAAACCUAUUAUUAGAUCGGUAAUCGAACACCUACAAUAAUAAUUACGAGUAGUACUUUAUAGACCUGCACGAUGUACUAUACAAUGUAAUUAUUUCGCGCGGUUGUUUGCGUCUAUAUAGGUAUAUAAAUUUUUAAAAUCUGGAUUCUGAGUUUCACGUCUAUCAUAACAUAGUAUUUUAAAUAAUGUUAUAGGUUUACUACUAUUAUGUAUAGGUAGGUGUUUAUUUUUUUAACCGACAAUAGCGGAUAAUUUGUUUUAACAUUACCACCCUUCACUAUAUACCGUCAUCGUUUAUUGAUUAAUUCAAAUAGGUACAGCUUUAUACGAGGAUGAACGAACUGACCCACCACUACAUCCCCAAUCAAUACAGCAAUGAGUGACUAUACACAAUGAACAUAAGGAAAAUAACAAGUGUAGAAAAAUUUUCGCGUUCUGAAUUUUUCCGGCCCUCUGCUCGAAGAACCUGG
Non-coding RNA from Cinara cedri, 5379 nucleotides. The record is from the annotation of a GenBank genome assembly. NCBI's taxonomy places the organism in Eukaryota, Metazoa, Arthropoda, Insecta, Hemiptera, Aphididae.